AAAACCUAUGAAGUAUUACAAAAAUACAAAUUAAUGUAAAAAAUCAACAAACGUAUGCACUAAAACGUAGAAAAUAACAACAGUCCAUCAAAAUGUAAAUAGUCAUACUCAAGUUUUAUUUUAAGAUUCUUAUGAAUCCAUGUCAACAAUUUAUUAUAAUCAUUAUAAUCAUUAAAAUAUGAUACUAUUUUAUCAAAUAUUCGAGAUGACAAAUCGAUUA
Non-coding RNA from Cinara cedri, 220 nucleotides. Lineage: Eukaryota; Metazoa; Arthropoda; Insecta; Hemiptera; Aphididae. The record is from the annotation of a GenBank genome assembly.